Non-coding RNA from Delphinapterus leucas (beluga whale), 1075 nucleotides. The record is from RefSeq and is a predicted model, not a curated record. NCBI's taxonomy places the organism in Eukaryota, Metazoa, Chordata, Mammalia, Artiodactyla, Monodontidae.
UGUGGGGUCUUGUCCCCUGACCAGGGAUGGAACUCCGGGCCCCCUGCAUUGGGAGCGCAGAGCCUUAACCAAAGGACCCCCAGGGAAGCCCUGCGACCUGUUGUUUUAACAAGUGUCAGUUUUCUCACCUGUGAACUGGGGACAGGAAUUGUCAUCUGCUGGGGUUUUCAGAGUAAAAUGAGCUCAUUGGCAUCGGGCGGACACUCAUUCAAUGUCCGUGAUUGUUUUCAUUGUUCAGCAGAUAAGUACAGAGAGAAGACAGACAGAGUCGUAGGGAGGGGACUCAGGCCAGAGAGCGGUAAAUAGACACCAGAAAUGAGAAGAUUGCCAAGAGUGCCGAGUGCCUGGAAGAAAAUACAAGCGGUCCAGGUGAUGGAAGGCGGACGUGGAGACAACUGGACGUGUCCAGAGAAUGGUUUUGAGGCAUAAAGAAAAAAGAGAUGAUCGACAGUGAAAGGACGUUGCCGGCAUCAGAAGAAAAAUACCGCCAAGAAGGAAAUAAAGGAGCUCGCGUGGACAUGCAAAAGCCACGAAGAAGCAGAAAAUGCGAACGAAGGCCAAGACUUGACUCCUUCAGGCAGGCUACUCACUGUUCCGUUGGUGCCACCGGGCUGCGUGCAGGAAGCUCUCGCAGUAAUGCAUCAGGAACUCGUGCUCCGAGUGCUGGGCUGUCCCCAGGAGCAAGGGCAGCAGGUCCCGGCCGUCAAUCACCCUACAGGCAGGAGCACAGGGACUCAGGGCGGAGUGGUUGGAAGGUGGGCGUGGCCUUAACAAGCCCAGGGCAGCCCCGGGGCAGUCAGCACCCCAUCCGCCUGCACACAGCGCCUUCGGCUAAAAGAUGUUGGAGGGUCCAGCUUGCUCGGCUGAAGUAAUGGUCCCCCCAGCCUUAUUCUGAAGGCACAAAUAGCUGAACAAAAUGGAAACACCUGCUUGGUUCUAUAUGGAUUGGAGCUUUAAGUCGUUAUAGAACAUGCGGCAUUCUUCAACAAGACCUGGAAUCAUUUCAUAAAUAUAUAUAAUAAAAGAAAUAUAUAUGCAUAUAUAGUGUAUAUAUGCAAUAUACAUCAUUGUAUAA